GGGCUUGUAGGGUAGUGGAUAUCCUUUCGGCCUUCGGAGCCGACGACGGGGGUUCGAAUCCCCCCGAGCCCG
This 72-nucleotide transfer RNA is filed under the name Methanobacteriota archaeon. RNAcentral describes it as "Euryarchaeota archaeon (soil metagenome) tRNA-Arg". It matches the Rfam family "tRNA". From Rfam's summary of the family: Transfer RNA (tRNA) molecules are approximately 80 nucleotides in length. Their secondary structure includes four short double-helical elements and three loops (D, anti-codon, and T loops). The record is from RNAcentral. Lineage: Archaea; Methanobacteriati; Methanobacteriota.